This 514-nucleotide ribosomal RNA is filed under the name uncultured bacterium. RNAcentral's name for it is "bacterial SSU rRNA". It matches the Rfam family "Bacterial small subunit ribosomal RNA", at positions 8 to 518 of the family's 1533-position model. The record is from RNAcentral.
AGAGUUUGAUCCUGGCUUAGGAUGAACGCUAGCGACAGGCUUAACACAUGCAAGUCGAGGGGCAGCAUAAAAGUAGCAAUACUUGGUGGCGACCGGCGCACGGGUGAGUAACGCGUAUGCAACCUACCUAUCAGAGGGGAAUAACCGGCGAAAGUCGGACUAAUACCGCAUAAACAGGGGCACCGCAUGGUGAUAUUUGUUAAAGAAAUUCGCUGAUAGAUGGGCAUGCGUUCCAUUAGGUAGUUGGUGAGGUAACGGCUCACCAAGCCGACGAUGGAUAGGGAACUGAGAGGUUGGUCCCCCACACUGGUACUGAGACACGGACCAGACUCCUACGGGAGGCAGCAGUGAGGAAUAUUGGUCAAUGGGCGGGAGCCUGAACCAGCCAAGUCGCGUGAAGGAAGAAGGAUCUAUGGUUCGUAAACUUCUUUUGCAGGGGAAUAAAGUGCAGGACGUGUCCUGUUUUGUAUGUACCCUGAGAAUAAGGAUCGGCUAACUCCGUGCCAGCCGCCGC